GACGAACGCUGGCGGCGUGCUUAACACAUGCAAGUCGAGCGGUAAGGCCCUUUCGGGGGUACACGAGCGGCGAACGGGUGAGUAACACGUGGGUGACCUGCCCUUAGCUCUGGGAUAAGCCUGGGAAACUGGGUCUAAUACCGGAUAUGACUCCAUAACGCAUGUUGUGGGGUGGAAAGCCUUGUGCGGCUAGGGAUGGGCCCGCGGCCUAUCAGCUUGUUGGUGGGGUGAUGGCCACCAAGGCGACGACGGGUAGCCGGCCUGAGAGGGCGACCGGCCGACACUGGGACUGAGACACGGCCCAGACUCCUACGGGAGGCAGCAGUGGGGAAUCUUGCGCAAUGGGCGAAAGCCUGACGCAGCGACGCCGCGUGGGGA
Molecule: ribosomal RNA, 378 nt
Filed under: uncultured bacterium
Lineage: Bacteria
Description: bacterial SSU rRNA
Rfam family: Bacterial small subunit ribosomal RNA
Source: RNAcentral